Tephrocybe sp. NHM501043 is the source of this 90-nucleotide non-coding RNA. The record is from the annotation of a GenBank genome assembly. NCBI's taxonomy places the organism in Eukaryota, Fungi, Basidiomycota, Agaricomycetes, Agaricales, Lyophyllaceae.
GCCCCCGUUGUCUAAUGGUUAUGACGUCAGACUUCUACCAUUGUUUAUAUCUGGAUCUGGAGGUUGCGGGUUCGAGUCCCGCCGGGGGUU